This 464-nucleotide ribosomal RNA is filed under the name uncultured bacterium. RNAcentral's name for it is "partial 16S ribosomal RNA". It matches the Rfam family "Bacterial small subunit ribosomal RNA", at positions 29 to 504 of the family's 1533-position model. The record is from RNAcentral.
ACGCACGCUGGCGGCGUGCUUAACACAUGCAAGUCGAACGGAAAGGCCCUGCUUUUGUGGGGUGCUCGAGUGGCGAACGGGUGAGUAACACGUGAGUAACCUGCCCUUGACUUUGGGAUAACUUCAGGAAACUGGGGCUAAUACCGGAUAGGAGCUCCUGCUGCAUGGUGGGGGUUGGAAAGUUUCGGCGGUUGGGGAUGGACUCGCGGCUUAUCAGCUUGUUGGUGGGGUAGUGGCUUACCAAGGCUUUGACGGGUAGCCGGCCUGAGAGGGUGACCGGCCACAUUGGGACUGAGAUACGGCCCAGACUCCUACGGGAGGCAGCAGUGGGGAAUAUUGCACAAUGGGCGGAAGCCUGAUGCAGCAACGCCGCGUGCGGGAUGACGGCCUUCGGGUUGUAAACCGCUUUCGCCUGUGACGAAGCGUGAGUGACGGUAAUGGGUAAAGAAGCACCGGCUAACUAC